RNAcentral lists this ribosomal RNA (611 nucleotides) under Vreelandella songnenensis. RNAcentral describes it as "bacterial SSU rRNA". It matches the Rfam family "Bacterial small subunit ribosomal RNA", at positions 55 to 664 of the family's 1533-position model. The record is from RNAcentral. Lineage: Bacteria; Pseudomonadati; Pseudomonadota; Gammaproteobacteria; Oceanospirillales; Halomonadaceae.
AUGCAGUCGAGCGGUAACAGGUCUAGCUUGCUAGACGCUGACGAGCGGCGGACGGGUGAGUAAUGCAUAGGAAUCUGCCCGAUAGUGGGGGAUAACCUGGGGAAACCCAGGCUAAUACCGCAUACGUCCUACGGGAGAAAGGGGGCUUCGGCUCCCGCUAUCGGAUGAGCCUAUGUCGGAUUAGCUAGUUGGUGAGGUAAUGGCUCACCAAGGCGACGAUCCGUAGCUGGUCUGAGAGGAUGAUCAGCCACAUCGGGACUGAGACACGGCCCGAACUCCUACGGGAGGCAGCAGUGGGGAAUAUUGGACAAUGGGGGCAACCCUGAUCCAGCCAUGCCGCGUGUGUGAAGAAGGCCUUAGGGUUGUAAAGCACUUUCAGCGAGGAAGAACGCCUGGGGGUUAAUACCCCCCUGGAAAGACAUCACUCGCAGAAGAAGCACCGGCUAACUCCGUGCCAGCAGCCGCGGUAAUACGGAGGGUGCAAGCGUUAAUCGGAAUUACUGGGCGUAAAGCGCGCGUAGGUGGCUUGAUAAGCCGGUUGUGAAAGCCCCGGGCUCAACCUGGGAACGGCAUCCGGAACUGUCAGGCUAGAGUGCAGGAGAGGAAGGUAG